GACUUAGGGGUUGCAUUGCACUCUUUAAAUCCCCAAAUGACCACUAGUGUCAAAAUAUAUGUGCAAGAAAUGUUUCAAUUUAGUUGCUUUUUAAGGAAGCUAUGUGUAGUGGUGAGAUUGGACUAAGUUGGUGCUUCGUGCCAAGAUUACGAAAUUUUUUAAAGUCUUGGUUUUUUAGACUUAGGGGCUACAAUGCACUCAUUAAAUCCCCAAAUGACGACUAAUGUCAAAAUAUAGGUGCAAGAAAUGUUUCAAUUUAGUUGCUUUUCAAGCAAGCCAUGUUUAGUGGUGAGACUAGAUUAAGUUGGUGCUUCGUGCCAAGAUUUGGAAAUUUAUUAAUGUCUUCGUUUUUUAGAGUUAGGGGCUACAAUGCACUCUUUAAAUCCCCAAACGACGACUAGUGUCAAAAUAUAGGUGCAAGAAAUGUUUCAAUUUAAUUGCUUUUCAAGCUAGCUAUGUUUGGUGGUGAGAUAGGACUACGUUCAAAGUUUGGUUUUUUAGACUUAGGGGCAGCAAUGCACUCUUUAAAUCCCCAAAUGAUAAUUAGUGUCAAAAUAUAGGUACAAGAAAUGUGUCCAUUUAGUUGCUUUUAAAGCAAGAUAUAUUUGGUGGUGAGACUGGUCUAACUUGGUGCUUUGCCCUAAAAUUUGGAAGUUUUAUAAAGUCUUGGUUUUUUAGACUUAGGGGCAGCAAUGCACUCUUUAAAUCCCCAAGUGACGACUAGUGUCAAAAUAUAGGUGCAAGAAAUGUUUCUAUUUAGUUGCUUUUCAAGCCAGCUAUGUUUGGUGGUGAGACUGGACUAAGUUGGUGUUUGGUGCCAAGAUUUGGAAACUUUUGAAAGUCUUGGAUUNNN
RNAcentral lists this long non-coding RNA (853 nucleotides) under Vigna radiata. RNAcentral's name for it is "long non-coding RNA (VRAD_LNC018292)". Lineage: Eukaryota; Viridiplantae; Streptophyta; Magnoliopsida; Fabales; Fabaceae. The record is from RNAcentral.